AUUGAACGCUGGCGGCAUGCUUUACACAUGCAAGUCGAACGGUAACAGGCUUUCGGGUGCUGACGAGUGGCGGACGGGUGAGUAAUGCACCGGAACGUGCCCAGAGGUGGGGGUUAACGCAGCGAAAGCUGUGCUAAUACCGCAUGUGAUCUGAGGAUGAAAGCGGGGGACCAGGCAGCAAUGUUUGGCCUCGCGCCUUUGGAGCGGCCGAUGUCAGAUUAGGUAGUUGGUGGGGUAAAGGCCUACCAAGCCGACGAUCGGUAGCUGGUCUGAGAGGACGGCCAGCCACACUGGGACGGAGACACGGCCCAGGCUCCUACGGGAGGCAGCAGUGGGGAAUUUUAGACAAUGGGGGCAAGCCUGAUCCAGCAAUGCCGCGUGCGGGAAGAAGGCCUUCGGGUUGUAAACCGCUUUUGUACGGAACGAAAAGGCUCUGGCUAAUACCUGGCGCUGAUGACGGUACCGGAAGAAUAAGCACCGGCUAACUACGUG
RNAcentral lists this ribosomal RNA (492 nucleotides) under uncultured bacterium. RNAcentral's name for it is "partial 16S ribosomal RNA". It matches the Rfam family "Bacterial small subunit ribosomal RNA", at positions 29 to 507 of the family's 1533-position model. The record is from RNAcentral.